CCGCAAUCGCAAGGGGCUGGUUCCCGGUUGCAGAGCGAUUUGCAGCCGGGCGAAGAGGGAAUGCAAGCGGGAAAGCCCAUAUGGGCGCGACCCGCAAAAGCAGCCGCCCCCGCGACCGUAACCGGACGAGACUGACCACGAUGCCACUGGCCGCUUGCGGCAUGGGAAGGCAGGUCCGUCGUCGGCGAACCGGGCUUUCCCGCCCGAUCCGCCCCAGUCCGCAGCCGGGAGACCUGCCAGCAGAACGAAAACCCG
RNAcentral lists this non-coding RNA (255 nucleotides) under Novosphingobium nitrogenifigens. Lineage: Bacteria; Pseudomonadati; Pseudomonadota; Alphaproteobacteria; Sphingomonadales; Sphingomonadaceae. RNAcentral also lists the same sequence under 1 other name. The record is from RNAcentral.